AUGUCUACCUUUCCUCAAGUGUGGUCCAUGUACCAGUGCUGGACCAUGCUUGUGGACUGCAGGGAGUUGGCUAGUAAUAUGGGGCUUGCUCUCCUUCUCCUUACCAGCUUCUACAAACCUCCAGGUUCUUCACUGCCAGGAUCUACCUGGAAACUAAAAACUGCAGGAAAAAAAGGAAGAGAGCCAGCACCACGUGACCACCAGCCAGCAUCUCCUAUAGAGAAUGUGAGGGCUGCAGCAGUGGUCACAGCAAUCAAACAGGAUUUUAAUGCCAAGCACGUCAGAUACAACCACCCAACUCAAUGCCCUGCCUGGAACUGUUAAAUGUACAGAUGAUGCAAACUGCUCUUGGAUCCAGCCAUGUACUUGUACUUCAACGACCUGUGCUGAAUACUCCUGGGAAUGGUAGCUCAUUCAUUUUGUAUCAAGUUGAACCAAAUCCUGUCAGCUCCCACUCUCUUCAUCAGGCCCCCCUCAUUCUCUCUUCACUCACGGUGCACGGCUGUGCUGAUUGGAUACAGCUGUGAAUGAGUGGAUGCUGUCUCCUGAACUGUAUGGCUCAGCCAGGGGUGUGUCUUUCUCCCUGUUAUCACUGAUUUUAACCAUUUUUGUGUUCAGCACAUUUUGGGCUGUGAAAAAGUCUUUCCACUCUCUCAAUACAAUGUAUUUAUUGUAGAUUAUCUUUCUGUCCUGUAAGCACAAUUGACUCUAACCUGCUGAACUAGAAGCAACCUUUUUGGAAAGCUGAAAGUGUGUAAAGGUUUGUUAUUUUUGUUUGUUGCUGUGCAUUAAGCAAAACAGUUUAAACAGGAUGCAAUAUAGAAAAUUAAAUGUUUUACAAUGCUUUCUCUUUUAAAAGGCAGCGAAAUAGCCAAAUCUCAGUGUGCAGAAUUAGGCACUUCAUUUAGUUCAAUGAUGUUACAAUGAUGCUUAUGCUAGCAGUGAAAGGAAUCCUUGAUCUGUAUAAAUAUAUACUUCAAAUAAUUUGAUACUCCAAAAUAUGAAUGCACAGUACUGUACAUCUAAUGUAAAGUGGGGUUUUGCUCUAAGGUGACUGUAAAAAUGACACUCCAGGGCGCCAGGUUUAUUGUCUUUCAGUGAGUUCCCUAUCAAAUGUGCUCAGAUAAAGUAAAAAGAUAUUUUAUCCAACUGUCAGCCAUGCAAUAUCAGCCUGGCUCUGAGAGUCUAGAUAGAGUCUGUCCUUCAUAAACAUCACCAUCAGAUUUGGCAGACCAAAUUAAGCCUCAAUGACACCUGUGCAAUCCUAUUACAUUCAACAGAUUUUCAAAGGAGUAACGGGUUGGAACUUAAUAAAUAAUUAUGUUACUGAUGCA
RNAcentral lists this long non-coding RNA (1334 nucleotides) under Chrysemys picta bellii (western painted turtle). RNAcentral's name for it is "lncRNA (ENSCPBG00000013838.1)". Lineage: Eukaryota; Metazoa; Chordata; Testudines; Emydidae. The record is from RNAcentral.